This 855-nucleotide long non-coding RNA is filed under the name Salmo salar (Atlantic salmon). RNAcentral's name for it is "lncRNA (ENSSSAG00000113843.1)". Lineage: Eukaryota; Metazoa; Chordata; Actinopteri; Salmoniformes; Salmonidae. The record is from RNAcentral.
GGUCAUUCACAAACUCAGACAGUUAAGAGCACACCAAACGCUCAGAUUAAACUCUCCAAAACAAUCCAAAGUGUGUGUGUCAAUGAAAAUUUUUCAGCUGUCAGCUUCGUCCACGACUGGCUCAUGUGAACUACAAUGCUGACACUGUUUUACAAUUUUCAAACCUCAAUCAUUGUUUGCAAUAUGGCUUUUGAAACAUAUGGCCCUUAUCUUUCAUCAGCGAGAAAGAAUCCUUCAAAUAAAAAUGCUUACUGUAGCAAUUUUACAUAGAUCCAUACAGCUAUGGGUGCCUCCAUCUGCCAAAAAUACACUUCUGCUACACAUCCCGAGAACAAACAGGUGUUCGGAGUGCGCUAGAUAGCUAAUUAGCACAGGAAAUAGUAUGGGCACUGGAAAAUUACUAGGCGACCGGAGACUCUCCAACAUGGGUACUGGAAAAUUACCAAAGAGAUGGAUUUUUCACCCUCACAUACAAUGACAUUCUAGACGAUUCUCUGCUUCCAACUUUGUGGCAACAGUUUGGGGAAGCCUCUUUUCUGUUUUAGUAUGACACUGCCCCUGUGCACAAAGUGAGGUCCAUACAGAAAUGGUUUUUCGAGACCGGUGUGGGAGAACUUGACUGGCCUGCAUAGAGCCCUGACCUCAAUCCCCAUCGAAAACAUUUGGGAUUAAUUGGAACACAGACUGCGAGCCAGGCCUCAUCACCCAACAUCAGUGCCUGACCUCACUAAUGCUCUUGUGGCUGAAUGGAAGCAAGUCCCCACAGCAAUGUUCCAACAUCUAUUAGAAAGCCUUCCCAGAAAAGCAGAGGCUGUUAUAGCAGCAAAGGGGGGACCAACUCCAUUUUAAUGCCCA